GCGAAAGCAAGUCUGAAUAGGGCAUAUGUCACUUUUUAUGGACCCGAACCCGAGUGAUCUAACCAUGGCCAGGAUGAAUCUUGGGUAACACCAAGUGGAGGUCCGAACCGACUGAUGUUGAAAAAUCAGCGGAUGAGUUGUGGUUAGGGGUGAAAUUCCAGUCGAACUCGGAGCUAGCUGGAUCUCCUCGAAAUGUGUUGAGGCGCAGCGGUUGAUGAUGGGUUAUUUAGGGGUAAAGCACUGUUUCGGUGCGGGCUGCGAAAGCGGUACUAAAUCGUGGCAAACUAAGAAUACUAAAUACAUUUUCCAUCAACCAGUAAGACAGUGGGGGAUAAGCUUCAUUGUCAAAAGGGAAACAGCCCAGACCACCAGCUAAGGCCCCAAAGUGGUUGCUAAGUGAUAAAGGAAGUGACAAUGCAAAGACAACCAGAAGGUUUGCUUAGAAGCAGCCAUCCUUGAAAGAGUGCGUAAUAGCUCACUGGUAGAGCAUUGUUGCGCCGAAAAUGAACGGGGCUAAGUAAUCCGCCGAAGCUGUGGUUGUGCAUUAUUAAAAUAAUGUACGAGGUAGAGGAGCGUUCCGUUUUAGGGUGAAGCUAAAACGUAAGUUUUAGUGGACAACGCGGAAGUGAGAAUGUCGGCUUGAGUAACGAAAACAUUGGUGAGAAUCCAAUGCCCCGAAAACCUAAGGGUUCCUCCACAAGGCUCGUCCAUGGGGGGUUAGUCAAGACCUAAGAUGAGGCCGAAAGGCGUAGUCGAUGGCAAACAGGUUAAUAUUCCUGUACUUGUUAGUAUUUGGUAAAGAAGGACGAAAAAGGCGGUAGUUGGCUAGAUAUCGGUAUUCUAGUAGAAAUGUCCAACUUGUUGAAAGGUUGAAAAAAAACUUCCUUGAGAGAAGGCAUGAUAUGACUUUUUAGUAAAUUUAUUUACUGAUUUGUUCAGCUUUAGUCAUAUUUCCAAGAAAAGCUCUUAUUACUAUACAAUGCUAAUAACUUGUACCCAAAACCGACACAGGUAGGUAGGUAGAGAAUACUAAGGGGCGCGAGAUAACUCUCUCUAAGGAACUCGGCAAAAUGGCCCCGUAACUUCGGAAGAAGGGGUGGUGGUUACGACGAAUGUCGUGAUAACCCGCAGUGACCAGGCCCAGGCGACUGUUUAUCAAAAACACAGGUCUCCGCAAAGUCGCAAGACAACGUAUGGGGGCUGACGCCUGCCCAGUGCCGGAAGGUAAAAGAAGUUGGUUACAACCCUUUGAGGUAGGAAGCUGACGACUGAAGCCCCGGUGAACGGCGGCUGUAACUCUGACAGUGCCUAAGGUAGCGAAAUUCCUUGCCAAGUAAGUUUUGGCCCGCACGAAAGGCGUAACGAUCUGGGCACUGUCUCGGAGAGAGACUCGGUGAAAUAGAAGUGUCUGUGAAGAUGCGGACUACUUAUACCAGGACAGAAAGACCCUAUGAAGCUUGACUGUAGUUUGGAAUUGGGUUCGGGCUUUUUUUGCGCAGUCUAGGUGGGAGGCGAUGAAAAUAAGUUUUCGGAUUUAUUUGAGCCAUCAGUGAGAGACCACUCUGGAAGAGCUAGAAUCCUAAUAGCAAUCCUUGAAUCCGGAUGCUUGACAGUUUCAGACGGACAGUUUGUUUGGGGCGAAUUUCUCCUAAAAAGUAACGGAGAAGUGCAAAGGUUUUCUCAAGCUGGACGGAAAUCAGCUGUAGAGUGUAAAGGUAGAAGAGAGCUUGACUGCAAGACCAACAAGUCGAGCAGGGGCGAAAGCCGGCCUUAGUGAUCCGACGGUACCGUGUGGAAGGGCCGUCGCUCAACGGAUAAAAGUUACUCUAGGGAUAACAGGCUGAUCUCCCCCAAGAGUUCACAUCGACGGGGAGGUUUGGCACCUCGAUGUCGGCUCAUCGCAACCUGGGGCUGUAGUCGGUCCCAAGGGUUGGGCUGUUCGCCCA
The sequence is a ribosomal RNA, 1946 nucleotides long. It matches the Rfam family "Bacterial large subunit ribosomal RNA", at positions 671 to 2587 of the family's 2925-position model.